AACACGCUCCUUAGAUCCACCUCUGGAGGGCGCUGCUCUCUGAGCAGAGCUCCUCAGCAGCUUCCUGGCUGUACAGUUGGAGGUGCUUGAGUCAUUGGCGUGUAAAACCAGUCUACCUGUCCUCCAGCUCACCUGCAGCACUGCAACCAGUCACCAGACUGGAGCACCCAGUGCUGCCAGCCUGGAGGACGGACACU
Small nucleolar RNA from Melanotaenia boesemani (Boeseman's rainbowfish), 197 nucleotides. RefSeq annotates it as small nucleolar RNA SNORA53. The transcript has a single exon. NCBI's taxonomy places the organism in Eukaryota, Metazoa, Chordata, Actinopteri, Atheriniformes, Melanotaeniidae. The record is from RefSeq and is a predicted model, not a curated record.